Molecule: long non-coding RNA, 447 nt
Filed under: Lotus japonicus
Lineage: Eukaryota; Viridiplantae; Streptophyta; Magnoliopsida; Fabales; Fabaceae
Description: long non-coding RNA (LJAP_LNC001733)
Source: RNAcentral
UUUGUGUGUGGAUAAGCUAGAAAUUACAGAGAUAAAUUUUGGUUUGCCAGUAAGGGUUGACUUAUAUGAUUGAGCUGCGUGCACAAAAGGGACUUGACUUUGGAAUGAGGUGAUCCCCCCUUCUAAACCUUUUCUUACCAAAAAUAAAUUUGUCUCGAAUUACUAGUGGGAAAAGAGAUAGCUGGGAAAGGAAAGAGCGAAAGCAGAAGAAAGCAGAGUUGGAAUCAGUUAACUGAUCAUAUUUACUUGUCUCAGUAGCAUGAGAAUUGAAGAACUUUAUUACGUAAAUGUCUUCUGGGAGACUGACCUAAUCAGUUUUUUUCACUAGGUUUCGAGGUUCAGGUAACAUUGUUUAAGAGAGGGUGGACAUUAAUGCCACAGUAAAAAUGCGCAACAGCCAUGCUUAAUUUAGUUUUGCCUUUCCAGAUCAUCUCAUUCAAACUGUCC